RNAcentral lists this ribosomal RNA (218 nucleotides) under uncultured bacterium. RNAcentral describes it as "partial 16S ribosomal RNA". It matches the Rfam family "Bacterial small subunit ribosomal RNA", at positions 113 to 334 of the family's 1533-position model. The record is from RNAcentral.
UAGUAUGGGGAUCUGCCCGAUAGAGGGGAAUAACUACUGGAAACGGUGGCUAAUACCGCAUAAUGUCUACGGACCAAAGCAGGGGCUCUUCGGACCUUGCACUAUCGGAUGAACCCAUAUGAGAUUAGCUAGUAGGUGGGGUAAAGGCUCACCUAGGCGACGAUCUCUAGCUGGUCUGAGAGGAUGAUCAGCCACACUGGGACUGAGACACGGCCCAG